Molecule: non-coding RNA, 324 nt
Organism: Cinara cedri
Lineage: Eukaryota; Metazoa; Arthropoda; Insecta; Hemiptera; Aphididae
Source: the annotation of a GenBank genome assembly
UGAGCCAUAUUAUAAUAUUUCGCUGCGGGUCGGUUGCGUCGGUUGCGGUCACCGUAUAUCGUCGCGUCCGAUAGUGUAAUGGCCAUCACCUUAGGCUUCCGGCCUGUUUAGCUCUACGUUUAUAAAUACGCCACUGAAUUAAUGUGUGACAGGAGUAUUUACACGGUGAUGGGAUUUCAGUGUCGAGCACUCUCUGUUUCGCUUCACACUCUGCGGCCACAUUUAUUGUAAUGGCGGUCUCCCGAGUGUCGUCUAGGUCAGCGGUUCCCAAACAUUUUAAUGGACGGCGCCUUUUUUUCGGAUCUCGUUCGACCGCGGGGCUCU